RNAcentral lists this long non-coding RNA (1750 nucleotides) under Malus domestica (apple). RNAcentral's name for it is "long non-coding RNA (MDOM_LNC006075)". The record is from RNAcentral. Lineage: Eukaryota; Viridiplantae; Streptophyta; Magnoliopsida; Rosales; Rosaceae.
CGGAAAUUAUGGGCAUUCUGUCGAAGACUUCUGGGGAAGUAGAAAACACAUGAAUCUUACUAUUCAAUCACCCACUUCCCACACGCAACAAUAGCUCAUGGGUACCACAGAUAACUUUGCCAAAGUUCUCUGCCAACCAAAGUUGAGCACGUGAAGCUUGCAGCUCCCACUACAUCGCUCUGACCAAGAAGGGUAAAAGAAUAGCAAAGAAACAUCACUAACAAAGUUUAGACCCAUAAAUUUUGAAGGUCUAGCUACCAUAUUAUUACCCAUAAGGGUAAAGGAACAGUACCAUUGCUGGAUAAUUGGAAAGUCCCUGUGUGUCAACCUCUGUGCUUCGUGGCAAGGUAGACUAGCAAACAUGCCCAACCUUUACUCUCACAUUCGAGAGAAAACACUCCCAAUAAGAUUGCUUGCUCCAAAAUCGAAGAGGCAACCGUCCUCCGAAUCUCGAGAGCCAGACUCCCAACAUGACUACUUUCUUAAAAAUCGAAGAGAGGGUAAAGGAACAGUACCAUUGCUGGAUAAUUGGAAAAGUCCCUGUGUGUGUCAACCUCUGUGCUUCGUGGCAAGGUAGACUAGCAAACAUGCCCAACCUUUACUCACAUUCGAGAAAACACUCCCAACAAGAUUGCUUGCUCCAAAAUCGAAGAGGCACCGCCCUCCGAAUCUCGAGAGCUAGACUCCCAACAUGAUUACUUUCUCAAAAAUCAAAGAGACACUGCUCCCCGAAUCUUCGAGAGCGAGACCCCCAACAUGAUUGCUUUCUCAAAAAUCGAUGAGGCAUCGUUCUCCGAAUCAAUCGAAGAGGCGCUCGCUUUCUCAAAAGCUGGGCUGCUCAGAGACCACGAGGGCCGAUCUCAGAAAUCGAAGAGGCACCUACUAUUCUAGCCUUGUCAGCACCUGUCACACGCACACUCAGCUUUGCAGAAAUUAUGGGCAUUCUGUCGAAGACUUCUGGUGAAGUAGAAAGCACAUGAAUCUUACUGUUCAAUCACCCACUUCCCACACGCAACAAUAGCUCAUGGGUACCACAGAUAACUUUGCCAAAGUUCUCUGCCAAAGUUGAGCACGUGAAGCUUGCAGCUCCCAUUACAUCGCUCUGACCAAGAAAGGUAAAAGAAUAGCAAAGAAACAGCACUAACAAAGUUUGGACACAUAAAUUUUGAAGGUCUAGCUACCAUAUUAUUACCCACAAGGGUAAAGGAACAGUACCAUUGUUGGAUAAUUGGAAAGUUCAUGUGUGUCAACCUCUGUGCUUCGUGGCAAGGUAGACUAGCAAACAUGCCCAACCUUUACUCACAUUCGAGAAAACUCCCAACAAGAUUGCUUGCUCCAAAAUCGAAGAGGCACCGUCCUCCGAAUCUCGAGAGCCAGACUCCCAACAUGACUACUUUCUCAAAAGCGAAGAGAGGGUAAAGGAACAGUACCAUUGCUAGAUAAUUGGAAAGUCCCUGUGUGUCAACCUUUGUGCUUCGGGGCAAGGUAGACUAGCAAACAUGCCCAACCUUUACUCACAUUCGAGACAACACUCCCAACAGGAUUGCUUGCUCCAAAAUCGAAAAGGCACCGCCCUCCGAAUCUCGAGAGCCAGACUCCCAACAUGAUUACUUCCUCAAAAAUCGAAGAGACACUGCUCUCCGAAUCUCGAGAGCCAGACCCCCAGCAUGAUUGCUUUCUCAAAAAUCGAAGAGGCAUCGUUCUCCGAAUCUCGAGAGCCAGAUACCACAGACCACUUUUUCAAAGUGCU